CUGCUGCGGUGAUGCCAGCUGCAGUUGGGGAGGUACAGCCAGGGCUGUUCACUUCCUGGAGCUGGCAGGGGCCAGGAACAGG
This 82-nucleotide microRNA precursor is filed under the name Chlorocebus sabaeus (green monkey). RNAcentral's name for it is "miRNA (ENSCSAG00000021135.1)". The record is from RNAcentral. Lineage: Eukaryota; Metazoa; Chordata; Mammalia; Primates; Cercopithecidae.